This 419-nucleotide ribosomal RNA is filed under the name bacterium. Its description in RNAcentral is "partial 16S ribosomal RNA". It matches the Rfam family "Bacterial small subunit ribosomal RNA", at positions 355 to 776 of the family's 1533-position model. The record is from RNAcentral.
UGGGGGAUAUUGCACAAUGGGCGAAAGCCUGAUGCAGCGACGCCGCGUGGGGGAUGAAGGCCUUCGGGUUGUAAACUUCUUUUGCUCUGAACAAGGCAUGCUAAUGGGUGUGUUGAGUGUAGGGGUUGAUUAGCGCCGGCUAACUACGUGCCAGCAGCCGCGGUAAUACGUAGGGCGCGAGCGUUGUCCGGAAUUAUUGGGCGUAAAGGGCUUGUAGGUGGCUGGUUGCGUCUGUCGUGAAAGCUCAUGGCUUAACUGUGGGUUUGCGGUGGGUACGGGCUGGCUUGAGUGCAGUAGGGGAGGCUGGAAUUCCUGGUGUAGCGGUGGAAUGCGCAGAUAUCAGGAGGAAUACCGGUGGCGAAGGCGGGUCUCUGGGCUGUUACUGACACUGAGGAGCGAAAGGAUGGGGAGCGAACAGG